Molecule: small RNA, 67 nt
Filed under: Paraliobacillus ryukyuensis
Lineage: Bacteria; Bacillati; Bacillota; Bacilli; Caryophanales; Bacillaceae
Description: Bacillaceae-1 RNA
Rfam family: Bacillaceae-1 RNA
Source: Rfam by way of RNAcentral
AUGAAGGAAUGUUAGACUAAAACCGUCACGUCGUGUGACAACAUCUAACUGACCCACAUCUUGUGGG